CGCAAUUGUUCUCAACACCGGUGUUACUCUCUCUCGUACCGAAUUGGAGUCGGAGUAGGGAAGGCUUUCGAACUACAUUUGAACUCUCCGGGAAAGGGUGAUCUUUUACGAGGAAAUUGUGGUUGAAGAAGGGAA
Long non-coding RNA from Salvia splendens (bonfire salvia), 135 nucleotides. RefSeq lists it as uncharacterized. Lineage: Eukaryota; Viridiplantae; Streptophyta; Magnoliopsida; Lamiales; Lamiaceae. The record is from RefSeq and is a predicted model, not a curated record. The transcript has 3 exons.